CUCCUCCCUUCCAGCACACAUACUAAAAUUGGAAUAACACAGAGAAGAUUAGCAUGGUCCCCACACAAGGAUGUCACACAAAUUCAUGAACUGUUCCAUAUUAAA
Molecule: small nuclear RNA, 105 nt
Organism: Mastomys coucha (southern multimammate mouse)
Lineage: Eukaryota; Metazoa; Chordata; Mammalia; Rodentia; Muridae
Source: RefSeq, a predicted model, not a curated record